This is a non-coding RNA of Caenorhabditis elegans, 21 nucleotides long. The record is from Ensembl. Lineage: Eukaryota; Metazoa; Nematoda; Chromadorea; Rhabditida; Rhabditidae.
UUUCUUGAGUGUUAAUAUCAU